Non-coding RNA from Acanthosepion pharaonis, 111 nucleotides. NCBI's taxonomy places the organism in Eukaryota, Metazoa, Mollusca, Cephalopoda, Sepiida, Sepiidae. The record is from the annotation of a GenBank genome assembly.
UUAUGGCCAUAUCACGUUAAAACACCGGUUCUCAUAAGAUUACCGAAAUGAAGCAACGACGAGCUUGGUCACUACCUGGAAUGGUGACCGCUUGGGCAUAUCAGGUGCUGU